This is a long non-coding RNA of Lytechinus variegatus (green sea urchin), 797 nucleotides long. RefSeq lists it as uncharacterized. The record is from RefSeq and is a predicted model, not a curated record. The transcript has 4 exons. Lineage: Eukaryota; Metazoa; Echinodermata; Echinoidea; Temnopleuroida; Toxopneustidae.
UGAGGUCGACAUUUGAUGGGCGAAUUACGUAUAGGUCGAUUGUACGGGUUCCCGUAAAGUUUGGCAAAGAUGGCUCCCGCUCCAGUUGCAGUUUCUCCUUUGAUCAAGUUUGCAAGGUACUCAGCCUUGUUGGUUGGCAUUGCCUAUGGAUCAAGGCAUAACAAAACAUUAGAAAAGAAUGAGGCAUACAUCCUUGAUAUGAAGGCCAAAGCGAAGGAAGCAGAGGAGAAGAAAGCACAGCAAGCAACAGCAGCAGCAGCGGGUGGAGAGGGCAGUAUUUUCGACUAGAGCAUCUUGCAAGCCCAGUAUUGACCAGCAGUCACAAGUUGCCUCAAGGGGAAAUUCCCUACUAUGGAGUGAUGUCAUGGAACGUUUACUAAAUCCCUGAUCACCAUGGUAAUGUCGCAUUGGGAGUUUUUGAACACCACAACAACAUCAAAGAUCAUGGCCCUCUACACACAUCAAGAUUAGCCUGAAUGAUGAGAGUCUGGGAAACUAGCGUAUGGUAUCCUGGAACAUCAAGGAAGGAAUUGUGAUGGCAUUUGUGACUGCUUGUCCAUUUUCGCUCCUGGACUGUGUUGUAAAUCAUACUGUAUAAAAAUGAACUAGAUGUGAUGUGUUCUGCAGAAUGCAGAGAUUUAUGUAUUUAAUAAAUAUCCUUUGAACUUGUCAACAGUUUUACAAAGAAAAAGAAAUCGCCAUCAGCGUAUUCUUAAGUUAAUUUUAUGGAUUUCUCAAGAAAACACAAGAGCAUAUUUCAUCUAUAAUGGAAUUUGAAUAAAGCAAUAUCAAAGGAA